Long non-coding RNA from Salvia miltiorrhiza (redroot sage), 1362 nucleotides. RefSeq lists it as uncharacterized. The transcript is spliced from 6 exons. Lineage: Eukaryota; Viridiplantae; Streptophyta; Magnoliopsida; Lamiales; Lamiaceae. The record is from RefSeq and is a predicted model, not a curated record.
CCUUUUCAAGAACAGAUAAACCCCCAAAUCCCUAUUUCAUUCUUAUCCCCAUUUUCUCUCUCACAAAUUUCAACGAUGGACAAGAUUUGCAGCGACGUUCGCCACCACCGUGACAAAUCUCGUUGACCACAACGUUCGCCGUUCACCGACGCGAGGCAGAGCUCCACCUUAUUUUCUCUCACUCUGGCUCUCUCACUACUCCCCAUCACCUUCUCCGCUGUGUCUCGGCAACAAAUGCUAUAUUGAAAAUUUUGGCCGAUUAACUGCUAAUUCGCAGUUCGAUUGCUGCUUCACAAGUGUUAGAUUGUUGAAAAUAGGAUUUAUGAAACCGAAUGGGGAAUUUCAAUGGUGAUUGUCGAACUUUUUUUAAUGGCGGUCAAUUCCUGUGAGGAGGUGAGAUUUCAAUUUCUUUUAGCACCCGCAAUUGUGUUCUACUUCAGAUUAAGCUGCAUUUUCGUCCUUCUCUUUUCCAAGUUUAUUAGCAUUAAUUUAUGCAUUUCGAUGUUCUGUUCCGAUUCAGUUUUCCUGAUUUCCGCGUUUGUUUCAUAUACUAAUAUCUUCUGGGCUUUUGGUAUUCAUGUGUUUGGUUUAUGUUGUAUGAAACUUGCAUAUCCGUUGAGUUUGUAUUAUUGCUAUGAUGUUGAAGGUGAAACCCUAACUCUUAGGAACUGCAUUGCUGAGGUAAUCUCUUCAGCUUUGGCCUGGUCGAGUAAUUUUGAGCUCUCCUUGCAUCUGCUAAAGUUAUCUUUUUGUUUUUUGAAUCUAUCUGCAACAGUUAUCUGCUUACACCAUUUGUGGUAGUUCCAACUCAUGAAAUUUGAGAUGAUAACGAAUAUGACGAUCGAUUUGCAUUUCCAUUUUGCUACAGUGACAUUGAAUCGGAAUGGAUAGCGGAGGAUGAGCUUGGUGUAUACAUCACCAUCAGACAGCUUCUUGAUGGCACUAGAGAGCUUCGGCAUGUCAAAUUCAGCACACUCGGUCAGGGGGCAGUAAGCAUCUCAGGGAAGUCUUGUUUUCUAUAGCAGUAGCCAUUUUGGGACUCCUCUUAUUUGCUCUGCUCAUUGGUAAUAUGCAAGGUCCCUCUUGUUGAUAAGUUUUGGGUUCUUCUUGGUUUCUUUGGGUACUCAGCGGUGCUAUAUAUGCAUUUUGUAACAUCCAUCAUUCAAGAAAUAACAGUAGCUCUGGGAAUUUACUGCUUCAGGAUAACUAGAAAAGAAGCUUAAGCUGUUACUACUGCACGAUUUUCGCUGUGCCUGCUUGUAUCUUGAGGUAUCAACAAAUCAAUUUGGGACUCUCUCUUAUUUGCUUCCAAUUUGAAGGUAACAAGCAUUGAUAAGACUUGGAUUAAAUUCCCUAGGAAUA